ACCUGACGUCAGUCAGUCUACUCUCUCAGUCUUUCUCAGUCACUGCAGGGUGCUGCUGUGUGCAGUUAGAAGGACCAUGGAUUUUCUGAUACUGCUAUCCUUGUGCCUAGUCAGCUGGAGAGGUAAAUGGAGAUCUAUUCUGUUAGAGGAGGGAUGGACAGAACCAUCAACACACUGUCUAUCUGUGCUCAGAUUAAUGAUUAUCAUAUAGUUAACCCUUAACUGUGAGGGACAUGCAACAUACAGCUUUGGGUGCCCACCACACUUUUACUAAAAAGGUGAAUUCUGAGUGGAGAUUUCAUUUACAGUAAGAAAAAAACCCCCACUGUGGUUUAAAUAGAAUGUAUUGAUUAUUUAAGCAUUAAGCUCUGUGUGAUGGGGGUUAUGUUCCCCCCAUAAAUCAGAUUUACAGGAGUUGUUUUAUUCAGCUACAUAAGGUAACUUUUGUAUUUGAAAGGAUUUAAGGGUCAUGGUAGACUUUUGCUGAGCUCAUGAAAUGUAAGAAGUUGUUUUCAGUGCUAAGCAUGGCAAUAUGUAGGUUCUUACAUCACAUAUCGGCAGUAGGAGGUGCGGUUAGAUGUAUAAAUGGACCAGAAGUGAUACAGGCAUCAGAUCAGGUUUAAGAUUUUGGCUACCAUUCGUUGUGUACCUUUGUGCGUGUUUUACGGGCAAUCAUUGAUAGGUUAGGCAUUAUGGUGAAUGCUGGUGCAGCGUUUCUAAACAUUUAAUUGGUUUCCAUGGUGACUGUUCCAACUAGGCUCCAGAAUUGUUCUUUUAAGUAAACACUACAUAGUGAUGUGUUUGACUGGGACUGUAUUUAUUACUGUAUAUGUGUUAGUACCCUUCUCUCUUAUGUAGCUAUCUAUGCACAAGUAUUUUCACUGUGUAUGUGAAUGUUUUUCAUAUUCACAAAUAUAAAUCUGAUUUGUAUGUCUAAUGAUCAUUUACAUCUACAAUUUCUAUGUUUCUAUGUACUACUUUUUUUAAGUCGUGCAAGCUUUGUCUGUAGUCUCAAUUUUUGCUAUUCUAGCGAGACAAAGGUUACCUGGAUUUACCUGUAAUUUUUUUUAAAUAAAGAUAAAACAUUUAUGAAUUAAAAUAUAUAAAAAAAACUUUUGAAAAAAUCACAUUCACUUAACUUUAGAAAGUUCUCAUGAAAUCAAGCAACUCCAGUGUACACCUGUCCUCUUAUGUUUAAGUAAUUGUUUGGGUGGUAUGGGGGGUUGAUUGUUGUCAUAUUUGCUCUUCUCUGUGUUUUUAUAAAGUUAUAUUUUAAACUAUGAUUUUGUGUUACCUGGGUAUAAAUAUAUGCUUUUCUCUCUUUGGCAGCCUGCAUGGUUCUUUAUGUUAUCACUCUGGGCUUUGCUGUUAGACAGUGUGUGAUUAUGAUCCUUCAUUGCUUUGUAAGUGAAUGUUAGCAAGUGGAAUGUUGUGACUGAUGCUGUGUAUGAUACAUGCACUGUGAAUGUGUGACAUCUUGGUUCAGUAAACUUUUUGGUUAUUCAUUUUGAUGGGUGUACCCCCCUGCUUCACCCCACCCUCUGUUACUUCUCCUUGUCCUUUCUUCUUCUGACACACUAGCCAAAUUGUCUAUCUUUUGACUUAUACUGAUGCAUAUUUAGAAAUUCCAAAAGGAUCUCCUUUUUCAUAAACUGGAUGCAACUGACCUCAUGUCGUUAUUCUCGACACGCCAUCAUUAUAAUAGGGAUUUAGUGACGCCAGCAUUCCCAACCCAAAUUCUCAUUUCAGUGUCCUCUUAUCGUAGAAUAGAUUCAAGGAGCACCCUUCCUUCCUCGUAUUACAGUCCUCAUUAUUCUGGUGUUAAAUGACGCUAUCUGCCCCCGCUGCCUGUGACCCCAGUAUAAUUAUAUAGGGGAUUCCAAUGUCCUCAUAAUACAAACAGCUCCAAUGUUCUCUAAAAUUAUGCAAACUCUUUCAGAGAUGCUAUUAUGAAAAGAAGUUCCCAUGUCCCCACUUUGUAAUGAGAGAUCCACCACUUUUUCUUAAAAGAAAGUAUUAUUAUUUCACUCUCAUUUAAGCACAGAAUUACAAGGUUCUCUAUGAAUUCUAUUCAAUAAACAGUUAUACGUUCCAACAGAUGUAGAGUCAUAAUGAGGGCACUUUUAAAAUGUUAUCACGCAGAAUACUCACAUCUAUAACCGUCUAUUCAUUUUGUUGAACUUGUAGACUCUUCUUCAGUUGUGCGGAUAAAACUCAAUUUAUUAACGUUGAGAUUAUUUGAAAAUUACUGUAAUAAUCACUUAAUAUGACCUUCAUAGAACAAAUUACAGUGCUAGUCUCUGUUGUCUUUCUCAGACAUAUACAUGCCCCACACCUGUUGAGAUAUCAUUCAUGUGCACGUAUAUUUAAAGUGACACUGCACACAAACUAGUGAACUCGCUCUCUUAGUAUAUUCCUUUAACUUCAAUAAUUAUGUAAUGUGCAUAAAAUAGUUGUAGAUCGCUGAUCCAGGAUUAAAAAAAUAUUAUUCAGAAAUGAUUCCUUUUUAUAAUGGGUUUUGGACAGUUAAAAUGGAAGCAGGUGGGCAACACAAUUUUCUUUUGAAAUGCCAAAUUGGCAUGAGAAAAAUGCCAUAAUAUAUUCAAAUUGAAACAAAAAGAGAAUCCCCACUUUUUGAAAAAAAAAAAAGAAUCCAUGUCAGAAUCUCAUCUAAAAUUGACUGAGCUCAAUUAAAUGAAAAUUUUGGAAGAAAUCUGCUCCCAGCUUAAUCAUGGAAGGUUUCCUCCAGAUUUUGCGCAAAAUCAUUUUUGAAAGCAGUAGGGUUCCAUGACAAUAGAAACCCCAGAGAUGCUCACAGAAUAUUUCAACAUGUGUAUAUAUAUAUAUGGAGUUUCCAUAUAAGGAAUAUCAACUUUAUAAUAUUUAUACAACCAAACUCGUCUACCGGAGAAUAAACUCCAGUGUUUUCUAUAAAGUCCCCAAGACAGGUGAAAAAACACAUUUCAGAUUGUAAUAAUGCCUAAUUGCUAGCUCGAAAUUUUAUAGCACAACCCCACAUCCCAAUUGAAAUCUUCUCCCCCUGUUUUUUUUUUUUUUUGUACAUUACUCUGUAGAACCCCAGUUUGUUGUUUAAAUAGACAACGUUAAAAGUGCUUUUUCACAAACAUGGUUCUGUUAGUCCUCUUCCGUCCAAGUGAUCCUCAUGCUGGUUAAACUAAUCUCUUCUAAGAACAUGUACACAUGGGUAAAAUGCCUCUACUGUAAUAUCCUCACGCAUGUUGCAUUUUACACAAGAGGUCCUUCUAUAAAUUGCGUAAUUCCACAAUAUAAUGCUGCAUUGUUAGUAAAAUCUAGACUUGAGAGUGGUGCAACAGUGCUUUAUGUUUUUUAUUUAAUGUUUUCUCUCUUAUUAUAUAGACCAGUGUUUAUUAGAUAUUAACAUUGGCUUGUUGACCCACUCUAAAAAAUGCAAAUUUAUCCAUUGCAGUGAGGCUAACAGUACUGCUGCAGUAAAUGUUUUAUUGUAUGGGGUUGCCCAGUACCCGAUAAAGAUUAUGUGGUUGUUGCAACCAGUGUUAACCUAUUGAAAAUAGAAUGUGGAUCCACUUUGGAUUCCGACCAAGGGAUACCACUGGUAUAGAAAGGAAUACUUAAUGUAUCCAUUUGUGGUGAUGCAGUUUUUUUAGCAAACUAAUCAGGGCUACUUUCUUCUACCAAUCAAAGCAGGCAGUUAUCAAAUGAUUAACUCUUAUCAAAGAGCACCAGAUUAAACUUUUUUUUUUCUGAGAUAUUAUCAAGGAAAAGAGCAAAUAGGAUACAGCACCUUAGUUAUUGUUAUCUCUGAUGUAAAUGGUGUUCUUUUAAGUUAAAGUUCAACUUUCAAUGAUAAUCCACAAUAUCUAAAAUGAUACACGUUCGUUGUUCCCAGAGAUGUUACUGGUUGGUGCAAACUUUGAACAUGCCUGAGUCCCGGAGGUUCUUGGCCAUUGGUCCCAUGUUUUCCUUAUGAUUUAGCGUUGUGGAGCAGGAGAAUGGAGAGAGGUUCCUUCCUCUCUGGCAUUCACUAGUCCAGACAGAAGAUGCUCUGCUAUGACAUAAUCCCCUCCGCCUUAGUCUCUACCAGCUAAUAGCUGUUAAAGAAUGCAGAUACUGAUCUCUACCACAUGGAGCACAGACCGUGUAGAUUCCAAAAGUUAUGUACAGUAAGUAGGAUUGGGGUAUUUCUAGUCAAACUGCAGUGAGGUUCUCAAAAUAUGUUUGCUCUGCUACCUUUUAAUCUCAUAAUAUCACUGUGUACUUAUGUCGCAGAAAGACAAAAAAUAGAGGUUCUGCGCAUCAAGUAGGUAGUGCACACCCAGGUGCUACUGCAGUUUAUUAGGGGACACAAUAUAAACAAACGUUUCGGGUAACAAGCCCUUCCUGGGGACAUUAGCACUGAGGAAGGACUUGUUGCCCGAAACGUUUGUUUAUAUUGUGUCAUCUAAUAAACUGCAGUAGCACCAGGGUGUGCACUACCUACUUGAUGCGCAGAACUCCAUUUUUGUCUAUCUGCUUGUUACACUGUUGGAACUACAGUAAGGAGACCCUGCAGCUCGGAUUUAACUGUUCAUUUCUGUGUUCUUUAUCUUUGAUAAUCGGUGGGCAUCAUUGAUGCCUCUGUCUCAUCCUAUGCAUAGUGUACUUAUGGCGCAUUUGAAUUAGAACAUACAAAAUGUAUAUUCAGCUAUGCAGACCAUAGAAUAAUCUUUGUUUUCCCAAUGUCUUCAAUAACGAUGUAAGUAAUUAUAAAAAUAUGUAUUGUAAGUGGAAAUACACAAAUAAAAAACAGAAAAAAACUUAAACGGACUGUCUAAGCAUCAAAACCACAUCACCCUAAUGCAGUGAUUUUGGGGCAUAGAUGCUGCCUCUGCAGCAUUGCAAAUGAAAACACUGUUAAAGGGAAUCUAUAUAUCUAUAUUGUUAGCGUUACACAAAUCUUUACUCCCCACUCCCCCUCCGGAGCUAAAAUGAUAAAAAAAAUCCUUUUGUUACUUACUUGAUUUUAGCGAUGUUGUUUGUGGUGCUAGGUCAGCGCUCCGUUUCCUCCAAGUGCCACGAGGACAUUAGACCCUCCCCAUGGGGAUUUUACUAAUGCUGGACGUCCAACAUCAGUUAGGUGACCGAGAGUCAAUUAGCAACCUGGAAGCACCUCUAGUGCUUGUUUUUAGUAUGGCUUUUACUGUAGGAAAGCAUUGAAUCAAUUCUGUCCUUUGGUGAUUUUCAAGAUGCUGGAUGUCCUCAUUUAAAGCGUGAGGACAGCCAGUGUCAUUUUUUUGAGUUCAAUUCCAUGUGAAUCAAGUAAGCGCCUCUAAUGGCUGUCUGGUAGACAGCUACUAGAGACAGUCUUGAAACUGCAGUGUUAACAUUGCAGUUUCUCAAAAAUUGCAAUGAUUUACAUUGCAGGACUAAGUGGGACUGGGACACUGAACACCCAGACCACUUCAAUGAGCUAAAGUGGUCUGGGUGACUAUCGUGUCCCUUUAAAAUGUAGACAGCCACUGGGGGUGGGUUCCAGACUUAACUAGGUGAUUUGUUUUAUUUUAUAUGAUGUCUGGAAGUGUGCCUUUAAAAGUGGAAGUUUUUAUUUUCUACAAUUCUUUUUUUUUAUAUAUUAGUAGAAAUAGUUAAAUGUAUCACUGUCUUUUGUUUGCAAUUUGAGAUUUAUUGGAUUUCAUUCACAAUUUCUUACUGCAAGGCCAUAAAUUAUACAAGUUAUACUUGCUCCAACAAGUGAAAUGUUUUGCUAAUUGUUAAAAAUGUACAAAUUAUGAUAUCAUUUUGAUUGAAUUUUGCAUUUACUAUUUCAAUAUGCAGUUAGCAGUCCAUUUAUUAAUAUAAUAUUUGGUUUUAAAGUAGUAAAGCAGUUGUUUUUUUUGUAGGAAACAUGAUCAUUUUUUUUAAAAUAAAGGGGGACAUUCACUGGUGAAACGCAAGUGGUGCAGUGGAUAACAAUGGGUCUUUCAAUGUCAGUUCCUUACUUAUAGAGCCCUGCAUUCUCUGGUUUCAGAGGCUGCUGCAGGGACUCUGCAACUUGAAGUUUGGCACAGUAUAUAUUUACAGCGCUUUGAAAGUUUUGGUAUCUGAAAGACACGAGGGCUGCUUUUAGCAACAGUUAACACAUACAUCCAGAAAAACAGCUGCAGCAUUGCUUGAAACAUUGGUUUUGUCUUCUCUGGAAUCAUGUUAAGGUCAACAUUGCUUGAUAGAAAACAACCCUUUCAAAACAAAUAUUUAAAAUAAGUAAGGUCAAAUAAUUUUUUAAUCAUGGUAGCGCUCCCUGUUUGCCAUUUUGUGUGUUUAUUACAUUAUUUGGGAACUUCAAAAGAUGUGUGACAAAGAGUCCCUAGGACUUUUGUGACCUCUUCGAAUUUUGGAUUGUGUCCAGAUUCCCAAGCUUACUUAGUCCACAUGGAUGUGUCUCCAAUUUGCCUAGGAGACUAUGUACUAGAACUUUUUAGGUUCAAGGUGCCCUUAAUAUAUCAAUAUUUUUCCAAGGCACCCCAAGUCAAAAAAUGUUCUAGGUUGUAUAUAUGUACAGCGCUGCGGCAUAUACUGGGCCCCUAAUCUUGGGAGUGGCACUGCUGUAUUAUUUAAAGAAACAAACCAGGCACAAUAAACACUACAUUAUGUUGUAGUGGUUAUGGUGCCAGUAGUGCCCUCCCAGGGUAAGUAGUCAAACUGUUUAAGAACCGUUUGACAACUUACCUGGGGUCUGCCGGGAUAGGGGCUGUAGUGUGUGUGUGGCGGGGGGGGGUGCAAUAUGUGUGUGUGAGGGGUGAAAUAUUGGUGCGUGAGUGGUGGAGUAUGUGUGAGGGUUGCAGUGUGCAUGUGUGUGAGGGGUGCGUGUGCGUGCACAGGGGUGCAGUGUGCCUGUGUGUGUAAGGGACGCAGUGUGUGUACAGGGGUGCAUUGUGUUUGUGAAGGAUGUAGUUUGUGUGUGUAUGUGGGGCAGUUUGUGCAAGAGGGGUACAGUGUGUGUGUGAGGGGUACAGUGUGUGGGGGGCAGGUUGUGUGAGGGGUACGGUGUGUGUGUACAGGUGGGGCAGUGUGUGUGUAUGGGGGUAAUUGUGUAUUUGGGGGGUAAUUGUGUGCAUGGGGGGUUAAUUGUGUGCAUUGGGGGUUAAUUGUGUGUAUGGGGGGUUAGUGUAGGUGUAUGGGGGGCAGUGUGUGUGUAUGAGGGGGUAAUUGUGUGUAUGCGGGGUAGUGUGUGUGUAUGGGGAAGCUAUUGUGGGGUCUGUGGGGGUAGGACGUCAAAUUAAUAAAGUUAUACUUUCACUUUUUUUUUUAAAUAAAAAUGAUAUCCCCCCCCCCUCCCUGCUUACCUUUGCCUGGGAUGGGGGACAUUUCCUGUAAUCCGUGGUGGUCCUGGUGGUGACAGUGAACUCUAGAAGCCUCAGGAGCUGCUAGAGUUAAAACUUGCGAGAUUGUAACUGUGGUAACCGCUGCAACGCUCUGAGCUCGCGAGAGGAGAACCUGGCGGAGCUGCAAGUUAGAGCUCCCCCGGGUCCUCUCUCCCUCCCCUGCUGGCUGUCAGCAAAGUGCUAGCGGGCCGGUGAGGGAGAUCUCUGAUAAUAGCACCGAGAAAAUAUCUUUCGGCUAGGGCGCAACGGCACACAGUUUGGGAACUGCUCUAAUAGAAGUUUAUUAUUUUUAUAGAGUGGUGUUUCCCAACCACAUCCUCAAGGAUUUCAAACAGUUGGGGAUUUCGGGAUUUCCCUGUUCUGUUCCAGAUCUGAUACAGAUCUGUUUUUAUAUGUCAGUUAUAUACUGAUAUUUGAGAAUUCCGUACAUAUAUGUAUAUGUGUACAUACCUGCUUGUAACAUGCCUCCCAACAUCAGCACACUGUAAAUCAGGACAAUGGUGGACACUGGCGGGAGAGGAAAAGGGGAGGCAGAUCAGUGAUGUGGUUGCAUGACUAGCGCUACACACUUUUAGGGACAUCUGGGAUCAAAGUUGGGACAGGACCUAAAAAUCGUGAUUGUCCUGCUGAAAGUUGGAUAAUUUGAGGCCUGUUGCAAUGUGUUUAAAUCUUUGGCAACAGUGAGUGUAUGCAGAUGUGUACAAGCAUGCAGGGCUAAAGGAUCACUAUAGGCACCCAGACCAUUUUAUCUUGAUGACGUGGUCAGGAGGCAUUGGCCCUUUAGUUUCAAUCCUGCAAUCUAAAACAUUGACAGUGUUUUUAAAUACACCUUUAGUGACCGUGGUGCUAACUGUUAGGAGAGGGUACUUCCGUGGCAAUGACCCAGUUUGAUUCAGAUAUCUGACGUUCGACGUUGAACGUCAUCAAAUGCUGAUCAUAAUGAUAUAUUGGAUACACUGCUUCCCUAUGAGAAGCAUUGAUUGGGCCAUGUGCUUCUCGUCCCCAAAACUUCUGCUAGUGCUGCCAAGGACAAAUAGUCAGAAAAGCAUUUAUCAAUAGGUGUUAGCUAUCAAAUGUAAUAAGUAAAUUUAAUGAUUGCUAUGGGCCCGCUAAAUCGGAUUGAGUUGCUAAAACCUAUAUAUAUCUAAUGUAAUUGGAUUUGUAAUUUUAACAGGAAUAACAUUGGUCCUGACUGUGAAGUUCCAGUAGCCAAUAAACUCCUGAUAAAACAUACCUGCUGGAAUGUAAUCAAGGCCAUUGUUAUAUAUAAACAGAGAAACUUUGGGGAAAAGUUCUAAAAGUGAAGCAAAUAGAAUGGACAUUCCAUAACAUUCAUUGUUAAUUGCUCCACUUACGGUGCUUUGACCCUGAAUCAUUCUUUAUGCACAGCUUGCCAUGUUUUAUUGACUAUUUAAUGUUGGUUUCAAGGCUUAUGGUUUCAUGGACUCAUGAAGUUCAUUUACAAAAUUCUUAGGUAAUUAUGUACUGCUAAACAAUGGAAAAACACAUAGUGCUGGCAUUAAGGAUGUCAAGUUAGCUUCAUUUUCUUUGAUUAAUUACUUUUUCGGUAUGGUUUUUUUUAUUUAACACAGGUUUUAGGUGUAUAGUUAUGCUUUUCAUGAAACCAUCUGUUUUUUUAAUUACUGUUUAAAGGAACACUCUGGCUUAAAUAAAUACAUGUAUUUACAGUCAGGUACAUAAAUAUUGGGACAAUAGUAAUCUUUUUGGCUCCAUACACCACCACAAUGGAUUUGAAAUGAAAUGAACAAGAUGUGCUUUAACUGCAGACUUUCAGCUUUAAUUUGAGGGUAUUUACAUCCAAAUCAGGUGAACGGUGUAGGAAUUACAACAGUUUAAAGGCUCAUUAAAGGCUCUGUAAGGGACAUUAAAAGGCUCUGUCAGGGGCAUUGAAAGACUCUGUAAGGGGAAUUUAAAUUCUCUGUUAGGGACAUUAAAAGGCUCCCUAAGGGACAUUAAAUGGCUCUAUAGGCACCCAGACCACUUCAGCUUAAUAGAGAAACUGCUAUGUUUAUAAUAGGGUUAAUCCAGCCUCUAGUGGCUGUCUCAUUGACAGCCGCUAGAGGGCUUCCGUGCUUCUCACUGUGAUUUUCACAGUGAGAAGAUGCCAGCGUCCAUAGGAAAGCAUUGUGAAUGCUUUCUUAUGGACUGGCUGAAUGCUCUUGCGCAUUCAGCCGGUGAUGGAAAAAGAGGGAGGAGAGGAGGAGAGCUCCCUGCCCAGCGCUGGUUUAACCCCUUCCUCCCCCCCCCCCCCAGAGCCCGGCGGGAGGGGGUCCCUGAGGGUGGGACCGCAAGUGCCAGAAAUGAAGAUUGUCCUGAAGCACAAUGCAUACUUUGCAAUAAAAUAUUGCCAAACAGUUCAUUACCACCUGCUAAAUGAUGUCGCCAUUUUGAGCAAAACCAUGCAGAGUACAAAAAUAAAGACAUUGACUUCUUUAAGCGAAAGCUAAAGGAGUAUCGUAAGAGUAAACAAUAUAUGAGCAAAAAAAUGUAAAAUGCCAAUGAAAAAGCCAUAGAGGCUUCUUACAGAGUGAGUUGCACUUGCAGGAGAAGCACACACAAUUGGGGAAUCACUAAUUAAACCAUGUGCAAAAGAAAUCGUAUAUAUUUUAAGUGAGAAGUUGAGUAAAAAAAUUCAAGCUGUACCCCUUCCUAACAACACAGUUUUGCACCGUAUGCAUGAUCUUGCUGAUGACAUCCAUACUGAACUAAUUUCUCGACUGCAUCAAUGUGAUGGGUACUCACUUCAAUUAGACAAGUCCACAGAUAUUGCAGGACUUUUAGUUUUGUUAGUUUUUGUUAGAUAUAAUUUUGACAAACAGAUUGAAGACGACUUGCUUUUGUGUGAAAGUUUGAAAACUCAUACCACUGGUGAAAACAUCUUUUUUUUUUUUUUUUAUAGUUCUUUAUUUUUGUGCAAUUAUUGACAAAGCAGCGUGCAGAGGUAUAGUAAAAAAUAUGUUGUGCUUUCGUCAGGCUAAGGGAGCGUUUGCAUGCUGUGCGAGGUCUGAGCCCAUGGGCCCGAGAUGUGGGUUGUGCGGUCGCUAGUGUAUGCAAGCAGGUUUAAAGCCCCUGACCAAGGGGAUUGCGGGGGGGGAGGAGUAUUAUCCGCUACUUAAUGUGGACUCAAUAUCCGCCGUCUCACCAACGUGUUCGUGUAUUAGGCCUGUACCUUACUGAGCCUAGGUAGGUAAACAUUUGGUAAACGUGUAACGAAACAAUCAAGGAAACUUUUAGUAGUGUGUGGACAAAAGUCUAGUCUGGUCUAGCUUGUCAUUUGGGGUUGUCUGUCUCCUGACGGUUCGCUACUCUGGGGACGAUUGGUGUUAUGGAGGCCGGGUCCCAUGUUGCCGCCAGUGUUCCAGAGGUGGCGGGUGUGUCCGGGGGUGAGAGUCCCAGGGUCUCCAGGAAGGUUGAUGCUUCUUUCAUGGAAGGCAAAGUGUGCACUGUCCCGCCUUGGGUCACUGCUAGAGAGCCGUUCCACCCCCAUCGAUAGGUCAGUCCUGCAGCUCGCAGCAUUGUCGUGACCGGGCUAAACGAUUUGCAGAGUAGGUGCGUGGACCGUGUCAGAUUUUGGAAGAAGGCAAGGUUCGAGUUUUCAAAGGUGAGUGGCGUUUUGCCCUUUAGCGCUGACAUUAUUUGGAAUUUGUCAGGUGGACUGGAGGUGAGAGGGGUGUGGAAGACGGUAGACACUGUCAAUUGCCACCUUCUUGGCCACUGCAUGUGGCAGGAUUGUGUCCAGCAUUCUCCUGAUGUAAUGAGGCAGUUCCUCCGUGUAAUCGUUGCGGGGAUGCCCCUAAUCUUGAUGUGGGUGCUUCUUUGGCGGUCUUCCAGUGUGGUAAGCUUAAGUGACAUAGAUUGUUGUUGUGUUUGCAGUGUUUUUAUAGUGUCCGCCAUAGUGGAGAGAUGGGAUUGUACCUUUGUUAAGGUAUUUUCGUUGGUUCUGAUUCUCUCCGAUACUGCCCGUACUUCCGUUUUGAGGAUGGCCAAGUCGGCCGCCAGCAUCUUGUGAAUUUCGGCUAGCAAGAGUUUUAGGUCCUUUUUGGUGGUUGGUGCUGAGUCAUCGGAUGGUUCUUGUGACCCAGCGGAGGAUGUUGGUGAGUGUCGCGGGCCUUCAGGUCCGUGUUGUCAUGGUGCCGCAUCCUGAUCCUUGUUGGGAAUGUCGCUUGUGGUAGAGGGCUUAGUUUGUGCCGGCCGUUGGAACAUAGCUCCUAUGUCUCUGCCUUCUGCUGGGGUGUGCGACUCUUGGGAGCGCCUGCCCAUGCCCGGCAUAAUUGUCGGCGAAGUAGACGGUGUUAGGGUAUAAGGCGUCUCAGCACUGUUUGUUGCGGUGCCUUCCAGGAGACUCUCCAGGCCUUGCAGCAUGCGUUAGGCCCCGGUUUUGUGUUUCUGUCUUGCUGAGUUUGGUGGUUGAAAGAAAGGCAUCGAUCGAUGCUACUUGCCCUUCUGGUCCUGGUCGUGCUUGUGUGGUGGCUGGAUUGGGCUCAGUUCUGCUGAUAUCUGCAGGAUUAUGUAUUUAUUUUAGUGAGCUUUGAGAAAUGGCGUCUGGUCAGGAUGCUUGGUAAGCUCCGCCCCCUGGCGGUGAGAACAUCUUUAACUGUAUCCAGAAGUUCAUGAACACACAGUAUAAAUUGGGACAAAUGUGUAGAUGUGUGCAGUGAUGGUGCCAAAACAAUGGUUGAGAAAGUGGCAGGUGCUGUGACACGAAUAAGAAAUGUAGCAAAAAAACACCAUCAGUUCUGAAUGUGUUCUUCACAGACAUGCAAAGGUAGCUAAAAAUAUUUCAAUCUCAUUUAAAAUUGUACUAGGUGAAUUUGUCCAGAUUAUUAAUUUUAUAAAAAGCCGACCAUUACAGUCACGACUAUUUAAAAUUAUAUGUGAAGAUAUGGGUAGUCACCACUCUGCUCUGCUUUUGCAUUCAGAAGUCCGUUGGCUAUCACGAGGUAAAGUCUUUGUUAGAAUGUUUGAAUUGAGUCAAGAGUUGUCUGCAUAUUUCCAGGAUUGUAAAUUUGGAUUAUCUGAUCGAUUAACAAACAUUCUGUGGUUAUCCAAAGUAGCAUAUCUUGCAGACAUAUUCACAAAAUUAAAUGACGUAUGUUUAUCACUCCAAGGAAAAAACACUAAUAUUUUUAAUGCAUGAGAUGAAAUAUUUUCACUGUCUCGUAAGUUUUGGACCUCAUCCGUUGAGCAAAAUAAUUUGAACCCUUUGCCAACUUCGCCAGGGCUACAUUUUCUCCACAUCCAAGAUGGCUGCCGCUACCUGCUCUUCCCGUAAGGUCAGAAACAGAAGAGAUCACGGGAGCGCGAUCUUAAGCCCAUCCUGCGAUCAGCCCUGCCACUCGCCCUGCCAUCAGCCAGCCACUUAGACUUAGUUCGUCCAUGAGAGAGCCUGCCCAGCUGCCAGCCAGCCCACCCAGCCCACCCAGCCGUCAGCAAGCCCGCCCAGCAGUCAGCCGUCAGCCAUUUGCUAUCUCUCGUGGUAGAGGAGUGAUAGAGAGUGGAACUGAUAGUUCAAGCUCUGUUAUUGUCAUAAAUAGAAAGCUCUGUUAGGUAGGGACAUAGAAAUCUCUGUUAGGUAGAGACAUAGAAAGCUCUGUUAGGUAGGGACAUUGAAAGACUCUGUUAGGGACAUUGAAAGACUCUGUCGGGGCAUUGCAAUUCUCUGCUAGGGACAUUAAAAGGCUCUGUAAGGGACAUUAAAAGGCUCUGUCAGGGGCAUUGAAAGACUCCGUCAGGGGCAUUGAAAUUCUCUGCUAGGGACAUUAAAAGGCUCUGUCAGGUGCAUUCAAAGACUCUGUCAGGGGCAUUGAAAUUCUCUGCUAGGGACAUUAAAAGGCUCUGUAAGGGACAUUAAAAGGCUCUGUCAGUAGCAUUGCAAUUCUCUGUUAGGGACAUUAAAAGGCUCUGUAAGGGACAUUAAAAGGCUUUCUCUGGGGCAUUGAAAGACUGUCAGGGGCAUUGAAAUUCUCUGCUAGGGAUAUUAAGAGGCUCUGUAAAGGACAUUAAAAGGCUCUGUCAAGGGCAUUGAAAGACUCUGUCAGGGGCAUUGAAAUUCUCUGCUUGGGCCAUUAAAAGGCUCUGUAAGGGACAUUAAAAGGCUCUGUCAGGGGCAUUGAAAUUCUCUGCUAGGGACAUUUAAAGGCUCUGUAAGGGACAUUAAAAGGCUCUGUCAGGGGCAUUGAAAGACUCUGUAAGGGGAAUUGAAAUUCUCUGUUAGGGACAUUAAAAGGCUCCGUAAGGGACAUUAAAAGGUUCUAUAGGCACCCAGACCACUUCAGCUUAAUGAAGUGGUCUGGGUGCCAGGUCCAGCUAGGUUUAACCCUUUUUUUAUAAACAUUGCAGUUUCAGAUAAACUGCUAUGUUUAUAAUAGGGUUAAUCCAGCCUCUAGUGGCUGUCUCAUUGACAGUCGCUAGAGGGCUUCCGUGCUUCUCACUGUGAUUUUCACAGUGAGAAGAUGCCAGCGUCCAUAGAUAAGCAUUGUGAAUACUUUCCUAUGUACUGGCUGAAUGCACGCGCGCAUUCAGCCGGUGACGGAAGGAGAGGGAGGACAGGAGGAGGAGAGCUCCCUGCCUGGCGCUGGAGAAAGAGGUAAGUUUAACCCCUUCCUCCCCCCCAGAGCCCGGCGGGAGGGGGUCCCUGAGGGUGGGACCACAAGUGCCAGAAAUGAAGAUUGUCCUGAAGCACAAUGCGUACUUUGCAAUAAAAUAUUGCCAAACAGUUCAUUACCACCUGCUAAAUGAUGUCGCCAUUUUGAGCAAAACCACACAGAGUACAAAAAUAAAGACAUUGACUUCUUUAAGCGAAAGGUAAAGGAGUAUCGUAAGAGUAAACAAUAUAUGAGCAAAAAAAUGUAAAAUGCCAAUGAAAAAGCCAUAGAGGCUUCUUACAGAGUGAGUUGCCGCAUAGCACUUGCAGGAGAAGCACAAACAAUUGGGGAAUCACUAAUGAAACCAUGUGCAAAAGAAAUCGUAUAUAUUUUAAGUGAGAAGUUGAGUAAAAAAAAUUCAAGCUGUGCCCCUUCCUAACAACACAGUUUUGCACCGUAUGCAUGAUCUUGCUGAUGACAUCCAUACUGAACUAAUUUCUCGACUGCAUCAAUGUGAUGGGUACUCACUUCAAUUAGACAAGUCCACAGAUAUUGCAGGACUUUUAGUUUUGUUAGUUUUUGUUAGAUAUAAUUUUGACAAACAGAUUGAAGACGACUUGCUUUUGUGUGAAAGUUUGAAAACUCAUACCACUGGUGAAAACAUCUUUUUUUUUUUUUUUUAUAGUUCUUUAUUUUUGUGCAAUUAUUGACAAAGCAGCGUGCAGAGGUAUAGUAAAAAAUAUGUUGUGCUUUCGUCAGGCUAAGGGAGCGUUUGCAUGCUGUGCGAGGUCUGAGCCCAUGGGCCCGAGAUGUGGGUUGUGCGGUCGCUAGUGUAUGCAAGCAGGUUUAAAGCCCCUGACCAAGGGGAUUGCGGGGGGGGAGGAGUAUUAUCCGCUACUUAAUGUGGACUCAAUAUCCGCCGUCUCACCAACGUGUUCGUGUAUUAGGCCUGUACCUUACUGAGCCUAGGUAGGUAAACAUUUGGUAAACGUGUAACGAAACAAUCAAGGAAACUUUUAGUAGUGUGUGGACAAAAGUCUAGUCUGGUCUAGCUUGUCAUUUGGGGUUGUCUGUCUCCUGACGGUUCGCUACUCUGGGGACGAUUGGUGUUAUGGAGGCCGGGUCCCAUGUUGCCGCCAGUGUUCCAGAGGUGGCGGGUGUGUCCGGGGGUGAGAGUCCCAGGGUCUCCAGGAAGGUUGAUGCUUCUUUCAUGGAAGGCAAAGUGUGCACUGUCCCGCCUUGGGUCACUGCUAGAGAGCCGUUCCACCCCCAUCGAUAGGUCAGUCCUGCAGCUCGCAGCAUUGUCGUGACCGGGCUAAACGAUUUGCAGAGUAGGUGCGUGGACCGUGUCAGAUUUUGGAAGAAGGCAAGGUUCGAGUUUUCAAAGGUGAGUGGCGUUUUGCCCUUUAGCGCUGACAUUAUUUGGAAUUUGUCAGGUGGACUGGAGGUGAGAGGGGUGUGGAAGACGGUAGACACUGUCAAUUGCCACCUUCUUGGCCACUGCAUGUGGCAGGAUUGUGUCCAGCAUUCUCCUGAUGUAAUGAGGCAGUUCCUCCGUGUAAUCGUUGCGGGGAUGCCCCUAAUCUUGAUGUGGGUGCUUCUUUGGCGGUCUUCCAGUGUGGUAAGCUUAAGUGACAUAGAUUGUUGUUGUGUUUGCAGUGUUUUUAUAGUGUCCGCCAUAGUGGAGAGAUGGGAUUGUACCUUUGUUAAGGUAUUUUCGUUGGUUCUGAUUCUCUCCGAUACUGCCCGUACUUCCGUUUUGAGGAUGGCCAAGUCGGCCGCCAGCAUCUUGUGAAUUUCGGCUAGCAAGAGUUUUAGGUCCUUUUUGGUGGUUGGUGCUGAGUCAUCGGAUGGUUCUUGUGACCCAGCGGAGGAUGUUGGUGAGUGUCGCGGGCCUUCAGGUCCGUGUUGUCAUGGUGCCGCAUCCUGAUCCUUGUUGGGAAUGUCGCUUGUGGUAGAGGGCUUAGUUUGUGCCGGCCGUUGGAACAUAGCUCCUAUGUCUCUGCCUUCUGCUGGGGUGUGCGACUCUUGGGAGCGCCUGCCCAUGCCCGGCAUAAUUGUCGGCGAAGUAGACGGUGUUAGGGUAUAAGGCGUCUCAGCACUGUUUGUUGCGGUGCCUUCCAGGAGACUCUCCAGGCCUUGCAGCAUGCGUUAGGCCCCGGUUUUGUGUUUCUGUCUUGCUGAGUUUGGUGGUUGAAAGAAAGGCAUCGAUCGAUGCUACUUGCCCUUCUGGUCCUGGUCGUGCUUGUGUGGUGGCUGGAUUGGGCUCAGUUCUGCUGAUAUCUGCAGGAUUAUGUAUUUAUUUUAGUGAGCUUUGAGAAAUGGCGUCUGGUCAGGAUGCUUGGUAAGCUCCGCCCCCUGGCGGUGAGAACAUCUUUAACUGUAUCCAGAAGUUCAUGAACACACAGUAUAAAUUGGGACAAAUGUGUAGAUGUGUGCAGUGAUGGUGCCAAAACAAUGGUUGAGAAAGUGGCAGGUGCUGUGACACGAAUAAGAAAUGUAGCAAAAAAACACCAUCAGUUCUGAAUGUGUUCUUCACAGACAUGCAAAGGUAGCUAAAAAUAUUUCAAUCUCAUUUAAAAUUGUACUAGGUGAAUUUGUCCAGAUUAUUAAUUUUAUAAAAAGCCGACCAUUACAGUCACGACUAUUUAAAAUUAUAUGUGAAGAUAUGGGUAGUCACCACUCUGCUCUGCUUUUGCAUUCAGAAGUCCGUUGGCUAUCACGAGGUAAAGUCUUUGUUAGAAUGUUUGAAUUGAGUCAAGAGUUGUCUGCAUAUUUCCAGGAUUGUAAAUUUGGAUUAUCUGAUCGAUUAACAAACAUUCUGUGGUUAUCCAAAGUAGCAUAUCUUGCAGACAUAUUCACAAAAUUAAAUGACGUAUGUUUAUCACUCCAAGGAAAAAACACUAAUAUUUUUAAUGCAUGAGAUGAAAUAUUUUCACUGUCUCGUAAGUUUUGGACCUCAUCCGUUGAGCAAAAUAAUUUGAACCCUUUGCCAACUUCGCCAGGGCUACAUUUUCUCCACAUCCAAGAUGGCUGCCGCUACCUGCUCUUCCCGUAAGGUCAGAAACAGAAGAGAUCACGGGAGCGCGAUCUUAAGCCCAUCCUGCGAUCAGCCCUGCCACUCGCCCUGCCAUCAGCCAGCCACUUAGACUUAGUUCGUCCAUGAGAGAGCCUGCCCAGCUGCCAGCCAGCCCACCCAGCCCACCCAGCCGUCAGCAAGCCCGCCCAGCAGUCAGCCGUCAGCCAUUUGCUAUCUCUCGUGGUAGAGGAGUGAUAGAGAGUGGAACUGAUAGUUCAAGCUCUGUUAUUGUCAUAAAUAGAAAGCUCUGUUAGGUAGGGACAUAGAAAUCUCUGUUAGGUAGAGACAUAGAAAGCUCUGUUAGGUAGGGACAUUGAAAGACUCUGUUAGGGACAUUGAAAGACUCUGUCGGGGCAUUGCAAUUCUCUGCUAGGGACAUUAAAAGGCUCUGUAAGGGACAUUAAAAGGCUCUGUCAGGGGCAUUGAAAGACUCCGUCAGGGGCAUUGAAAUUCUCUGCUAGGGACAUUAAAAGGCUCUGUCAGGUGCAUUCAAAGACUCUGUCAGGGGCAUUGAAAUUCUCUGCUAGGGACAUUAAAAGGCUCUGUAAGGGACAUUAAAAGGCUCUGUCAGUAGCAUUGCAAUUCUCUGUUAGGGACAUUAAAAGGCUCUGUAAGGGACAUUAAAAGGCUUUCUCUGGGGCAUUGAAAGACUGUCAGGGGCAUUGAAAUUCUCUGCUAGGGAUAUUAAGAGGCUCUGUAAAGGACAUUAAAAGGCUCUGUAAAGGGCAUUGAAAGACUCUGUCAGGGGCAUUGAAAUUCUCUGCUUGGGCCAUUAAAAGGCUCUGUAAGGGACAUUAAAAGGCUCUGUCAGGGGCAUUGAAAUUCUCUGCUAGGGACAUUUAAAGGCUCUGUAAGGGACAUUAAAAGGCUCUGUCAGGGGCAUUGAAAGACUCUGUAAGGGGAAUUGAAAUUCUCUGUUAGGGACAUUAAAAGGCUCCGUAAGGGACAUUAAAAGGUUCUAUAGGCACCCAGACCACUUCAGCUUAAUGAAGUGGUCUGGGUGCCAGGUCCAGCUAGGUUUAACCCUUUUUUUAUAAACAUUGCAGUUUCAGAUAAACUGCUAUGUUUAUAAUAGGGUUAAUCCAGCCUCUAGUGGCUGUCUCAUUGACAGUCGCUAGAGGGCUUCCGUGCUUCUCACUGUGAUUUUCACAGUGAGAAGAUGCCAGCGUCCAUAGAUAAGCAUUGUGAAUGCUUUCCUAUGUACUGGCUGAAUGCACGCGCGCAUUCAGCCGGUGACGGAAGGAGAGGGAGGACAGGAGGAGGAGAGCUCCCUGCCUGGCGCUGGAGAAAGAGGUAAGUUUAACCCCUUCCUCCCCCCCAGAGCCCGGCGGGAGGGGGUCCCUGAGGGUGGGACCACAAGUGCCAGAAAUGAAGAUUGUCCUGAAGCACAAUGCGUACUUUGCAAUAAAAUAUUGCCAAACAGUUCAUUACCACCUGCUAAAUGAUGUCGCCAUUUUGAGCAAAACCACACAGAGUACAAAAAUAAAGACAUUGACUUCUUUAAGCGAAAGGUAAAGGAGUAUCGUAAGAGUAAACAAUAUAUGAGCAAAAAAAUGUAAAAUGCCAAUGAAAAAGCCAUAGAGGCUUCUUACAGAGUGAGUUGCCGCAUAGCACUUGCAGGAGAAGCACAAACAAUUGGGGAAUCACUAAUGAAACCAUGUGCAAAAGAAAUCGUAUAUAUUUUAAGUGAGAAGUUGAGUAAAAAAAAUUCAAGCUGUGCCCCUUCCUAACAACACAGUUUUGCACCGUAUGCAUGAUCUUGCUGAUGACAUCCAUACUGAACUAAUUUCUCGACUGCAUCAAUGUGAUGGGUACUCACUGCAAUUAAACAAGUCCACAGAUAUUGCAGGACUUUUAGUUUUGAUGGUUUUUGUUAGAUAUAAAGACAAAGUAUCGAAAUCGACUUGACUCAACUGCAGACAUGCAAAUACAAUUGUCAACAAUUAAGCCAGAUAUAAAAUGAAUUUGCCAGAAAAGAGAACAUUACACUCAUUGAAAGGUUUACGCUGCAUAUUCUACGGCACACAUUUUUUUGUUGGGGCUCCAAAGUUUUGCUAAACCAUGUCAAAGGGUUCCACGGGAAAAAUGUAUUGGAAAACCCUGGCCUAGUGGCAAGUGGAAAUGUGGAGCCCUGCUGUGUGUGGCAUUAUAUUUGCAAAUGUAAUUAUAUUUGUAUGUUGGUUUUCCUAUGUGUGCAAUAUUAGUAUGUGUGUAUGUAUGUGUUUCUAUGUGUGAAAUGUAGGAGAAAAAUUAGGGCAUUAGCCACCAUGACUAAAGUAGUAGCAUGCAGUUCUGAAGCGCAAAUCCUAUUAUGUUCAGCCAGUCUCUAGGCCUUCCAAAUGUUUGCAAAUUGCAAUUCACAUGAAGCCCAACAAGACUUACAUGUUGGCUGAGCAUUAAGAUUAUUGCGUAACUUGCAAUGGUGCCAUUGCCGCAGGAUGUCCAGUAGCUAUAGGGUGGAGGGGAAAGUGGGUUAAAUUUACCCAAAUCUGUCCAAUGUGGACACCACCGUUCUAUUCUGCCUGGUUUUCUUCACCUCCUGCCACUAAAGCUGAUUUCAGUGAUGUAUCCUUGCACAUCAUAAGAUAUGACAAAGCUGGACUGCACUUUUAUGUCAAGAGGAGGAAAAAUACUAAGACAAGUAGUUCCUACUUUAUCUUAGUAUAUUUUUUGACUAAAGAUUUUGUCUUUAUGAAAUACUCGUUUUGGAUGGGGGUGUCAGAGCUGCUUUAACAUACCUUAGUCUAUCUCCUCAAUUCUCUCCCAACCCGCCAGCUAUUUCCCCAAAGUCCACCCUGGUCGAUUUAAUAUUGUUCGGUAAUCUUUACAAAUAAUUCAAUAUUUUUGGAUACAUUUUAAAAGCGAUUUAAUAUCAUGAAAAAUAUUAACUUUUUUAUAUAUUGAUCUAUUUUUUUAUAUAUGCUAUGUUUUUUGAUAUUUUAAUAUGUUGGAAAAUAAUUGUAAAAGUAUAUCUACAAAUAUUAAAUUGUGUGUGUGCACAUACGCCCCUCCCAAUAUUACUUGAGGCCUCAGUGGGUGCCUCGGAGGGAUGAUAUGUUAACAUUAUACAAAAACAGAUGUGAGAAAGGCUGAACUUGAUGGAUGCAUGUCUCUUUUCAGCCUAUGUAACUAUGUAAAUUUGGUAAGCUUAACCCACAAUAUUCAAUCAAGACCUUUGUAAACUAAGUGACUGAUAACAUUGUUGUCAAAGGAGACAAUUGGGAUAUGAUAUAGUAAUUUAAAAAAAAAAACACUACCUGAUUUACCAUACUGGACCCAGUUAUGUGGUGUAUUAGGGCGUGAGAUGGAAGGCACAGAGCUGCACAAGGUGCCCAUCACUUAGCUAUGUUACAACAACUCUUCUAGGUAGUCAGAGGAGUGGAGGUGGUCAACCGGCCAGACCUCUGAACUCCACAACUGACCUAUCGCUUACAGUGUAGUGGAACCUCUGAUUAAUGAUAUCAAACGUGAUUGAGCAUUGUAUAAGUACCCACGAAGAAAUAUCUUUAUCAUUCAGAACACAGCCUUUCUUUUUUUUCUCACUAAUUCUUUUUUUUUGUUAGACCAGGCACUAUAGCAGUACCAUAUAGGAGAAGUCUGAAAUACAUUAAUAUUUUGCAUAUAUCUAAUUUUCCUAUACAAGUGAACAGAACAGAACAAUACAGAAAUUAAAGAAAAGAGAGAGGAGAAUAAGUUCUGCUAUGAUAUAUACAAUAAACCUAAAUGUAAAUGACAUUCAAUUAGCUAAAGAUGUAUUUAAGCCAUGGGUUCCUAGUUUAAUAAAAUAUUAGUAUUAGCUUUUGUAUAGCGCCAACAUAUUACACAGUACUUGACCAUUAUAGAAAGGGGAUAUGAAGAAGGUCCAGUUUACAAUAUAAAAUAAAAGGUAGACGAUAUAUAUUGUUAGGUAUUCAUUCAACAAGCAGCAAUUAAAUUUUUUUUAUAAUCCCAUUCUUCCCAGUGUCUCUCUUACAUAUCUAGUUUCUCUCAUUGGUGUAGCCGGAGGUGUGUUUGAGCAUCUUCUCCAAUCACCUCCCUCUUUUUCUUCUCUCUGUUUUUGCUCUCCAUCAUAAUUUAUCUGGCAAUCCAAAAGCAGAGCAUCAAUUUCAGUAUGCAUUCCACCUUAGUAUGUAGUUCUGUUUUUUUCUUGCAUGUCAAGGAUAUUCAUCUGCUCCUUAUUAGGUCUUACAAUUUGGUAGAUCCAACCUCAGAUGGACAGCACGUGACAAACUACACCAUGUUGUGAUUUAUUUAACAAAAAUAAAGCCUUGUGUGAAAAAAUGAAGUACACCUUACGAUUCAAUAGGUUGUAAAACCACCUAUCGCAGUGCUAACUUGAAGUAGAUUAAACUCUGCGCUGCGCCAAUCCACAUCUCCUCAUAUAGAUGCAUUGAAUCAAUGCAUCUCUAUAGGGAACAUUCAGAGCUUCCAUGCAGAGCGUGGAGAUGUGGAAUGUUGGUGCACACUGUGCAGCACUGGACUAGGAAGCACGUCUAGCGGCUGUUUACGUUACUGUCAUUAGAGGUGUUUUUAGGCAGCAAUGUAAACACUGUCUUUUCUCUUAAACACCACUGUGAACGGUGGUACUCUAGUUGCUCAUUACUAGCUUUGUGCAUAUAUGAGGAUAUGUCGUGUUAAAAGACAACUGUCACCAAACUUUCAUUUCUCCUUUUAUUACAUGCAGUUAAAUUAAAUGAUAUUUUUCUUAAAGGGAUACUAUAGUCACCAGAACAACAGCAGCGUAAUGUAGUUGUUCUGGUGAGUAUAGUAUGUCCCUGCAGACAUUUUUAUUUAAACACUGCCUUUUCAGAUAAAAGCUGUGUUUAUAUUGCUGCCAAGGGACACCUCCAGUGGCUGUCAUUCAGAUGGCCAAUAGAAUUGCUUCCUGGGUCAGUGCUGCACAAUGUGCUGCAUUGCCCCAGGUAGCACCUAUGUGGGAAGCACCCAUGGGAAAGCAGUGGAUUGGCUGAGAUUAUCAACUCUUAUGAUCUUGGCCAAGGAGGUGGAUCGGGGGCAGUGUUUUUUUUACCCUAUUUAAGUAAGGCAUGGGGGGGGGGCUGUAACCUAAAUAUUAUUUUUAGCACCAUAGGGUCAGGAAUACACAUUUGUAUUUCUGACUCUAUAGUGUUCCUUUAAAUUAUGUAUUUUGAUAUUUUGGAUAACAUUUUUAUUUGGCUGGGCAGCCAUUUUGGGUCAGACUCUGUUAUCUGACCAACUGUAGUUCAAUCUAAAUGACUGCCACUGUGAUUGCUCUGUGUGAAACUGCUACAACCGGAAAGUUAGGAUGAGCAGCAGGUGGUCAGAUAAUAGUAGAAUCUCACCCAACAUGACUGCUCAGAGAGAUACAUCAUUUAAAAAAUAUAAUAAUUAUUAUAUAUAUAUAUAUGUAUAUAUUAGUAAGUUUCCGUACAUGUAAUAAAGUUUUAAAAAGUGAAAUUUUGAUGACAGUUGUCUGUCCUUUAAUACUAUGUUCCUGUUGUGAACUUCACAAUGUUCUGAAAUGAUCAGUCAGUAUUCUCAUUGGUCAGUAUUAGUCAGUAUUCUCUUACUCCACAUUCAAAUGUGUGUUAUUUAGUCUUGAAUCUCUGUCUUAGCUCCCAAAAAUAGGUUUGCAUUUACUAUUUGCUUUGACAGAGUUCUUUCCUUAGUUGAUGGAAAAUGUAAAUGGUUAAUAAAGCUGAGUGUAGAUUUGCCUUAUAUGUGAACGGUGCUUUGAGUAUGUAACUCAAGCCAAAGGUCUACAUGUGCUUAGCAUGCUCUUCAGGUGAUUGAUUGAUUGAUUGAUAGAUUUAAAAGUCAAAAGGCCAAAUAAUAUAACUUUGCUUCUUCUCAAUAAACUCUGUGUAAGAUGAGCAAGGCAAUAUCAAGUCGGAGUUGAAAGAGACAACUAUACAGUAAUGUACUUUACUUAAAUAUAACUGGAGAGUUAUAACCACUGGUAAUGUCACAUACAGAGGGAGCAUCAAAUGAUUGUUAAUUAGAGAUUAUAAAAGUGUUUGUAUUAAUUCUGAAUUGUUGAGCUGGCUAAUGGCUAAACAAAAAAAAAACAUCACACCUGUAAUAAGACUAUUUGUGUAAUUUUCUGUUGGAAUUAGUUUUGAAAAUGCGAAUUUUUAGCGUCUUUUAUAGUUGAAUAUUUUUUAUAUAUAUCCAUAUCCAUUGGCCUGUAUUUGUGGGAGGGGCUUAAGUUAACUUACUCCCCUAUAUAAACUACACCUCUUACCUGACUCCUUACCGAUCAAGGUCAGCAUCUGAAUGCCCCUCCCACCCACUCCUCAUACUUACACAAUCUAUAUCACAUUUCUUAUUUUAAUUCUUACUCCUUGGUGGGCCCUCUUUAUUUACAGGCCUACCGUAUCGUCGGUAUCGGCACACCACAACCGACUUGCUCUUUUAUAAUAUUCCAGUUCCUACUGGAACCUCACUCCUUAUACUAUUACUUAGCACCUUACACAAAUAUAUAUAUAUAUCCAUAUCCAUUGUAUAUCACAAUGUGAAUCAUAUUUAGGAUACCAUAAAUUGCAACAAAUAAUGUAUUUACAUCCACAUAUUUAUAUAAUGAAUGAGUGUAUGCGUAUACUACAUUAAGUAGUCCUAAUGGCUAGUAAUGGUUACUUGGUAAUAUGUGCAUUUGUUCUGGUUCCCUUUUGAGCUUCCGAGGUCACAUUUUAUAAUGGAGAAAUUCUGGCGGCAGACUUGGUAGGCCAUGAAGUAGCAAAUUGCUUGUUACUAACAUGAAAAAAUGUCGUGCAAAUGUGAAGUGUUGCUGUUGGUGGUCAAAUGUUUCAUUUUUGUCACACUGCUUACCUUUCUUAGGAUGAAAUUUUUUUUAAUUGAAGUUCCUGGUAAUAUUUAGAGGAGUCACAUUAGCAGAUACAAGAAAUAUACAGCUUGUUGUUUCAACAUUUUUACUCCCAAUGCUGCUUGUUUUCUUUCAGUAUUCCACCUCUGUUGACCCACUGUCCAAAGAGCAGAGGACAAGCAAGAAGACAUAUAUGGAAAGAUCUGUGUACUUUGUCAAAGUGGACUGUCUGAAAGAAGAUUUAGGGUUUUGCAGUGUUAGGGGUUUUGUUACCAAGUUCUAGAGGAGACGUUUACUGGAACUGCAACACAGUGCUCUGCAGAUUCUACCAAGCCACUGCACAUGUUUGUGUCUAAAAUGCUUGUGUCUUAUUUUUAUUACGAGGACAUGACUUGCUAAACAAAAUAAUGCCUACAUAUUUUAAAAGGUGCAAAUGUGGAUAAUGUAUCACACAAUAUGAUCAAUAUAUCAGCAUGUUGGGUAUAUCUGCAAAAUAGUCAUUUCGGACUCUCAUGGAAGAAGCUAUUUCUUUGGGGAAGUCACAAAUGGAAUUCUGACCCAUGGAAUUGUCAAAAAACAGUUUUCUUAUUGACACCUGGAAGUGGUAGCAUCAGUCCUGAUGUUGGAUUAAAUAAUUGAUCAUUGUAUGUUGUUGCGUUUACCUGCCUUUAAUCAGUAAAACAGAUGUAAACUAUUUAACAGGAGUCUGCUCUCUCC
Molecule: long non-coding RNA, 24564 nt
Filed under: Pelobates cultripes (western spadefoot toad)
Lineage: Eukaryota; Metazoa; Chordata; Amphibia; Anura; Pelobatidae
Source: RNAcentral